UGGGGAAUAUUGGACAAUGGGCGAAAGCCUGAUCCAGCCAUGCCGCGUGUGUGAAGAAGGUCUUCGGAUUGUAAAGCACUUUAAGUUGGGAGGAAGGGCAUUAACCUAAUACGUUAGUGUUUUGACGUUACCGACAGAAUAAGCACCGGCUAACUCUGUGCCAGCAGCCGCGGUAAUACAGAGGGUGCAAGCGUUAAUCGGAAUUACUGGGCGUAAAGCGCGCGUAGGUGGUUUGUUAAGUUGGAUGUGAAAUCCCCGGGCUCAACCUGGGAACUGCAUUCAAAACUGACUGACUAGAGUAUGGUAGAGGGUGGUGGAAUUUCCUGUGUAGCGGUGAAAUGCGUAGAUAUAGGAAGGAACACCAGUGGCGAAGGCGACCACCUGGACUAAUACUGACACUGAGGUGCGAAAGCGUGGGGAGCAAAUA
This 427-nucleotide ribosomal RNA is filed under the name uncultured bacterium. RNAcentral describes it as "partial 16S ribosomal RNA". It matches the Rfam family "Bacterial small subunit ribosomal RNA", at positions 355 to 774 of the family's 1533-position model. The record is from RNAcentral.